GACGAACGCUGGCGGCGUGCUUAAAAACAUGCAAGUCGAACGGACUUCUCAUGAAGCUUGCGAUUGAGAAGUUAGUGGCGGACGGGUGAGUAACGCGUGGGCAACCUGCCCCUGAGCCCGGGAUAACAGUUCGAAAGGACUGCUAAGACCGGAUAUACUUGCGGUGAAGCAUUUCACUGCAAGGAAAGGGAACGCUCAGGGAUGGGCCCGCGUCCCAUUAGCUAGUUGGUGAGGUAACGGCCCACCAAGGCGACGAUGGGUAGCCGGCCUGAGAGGGUGAACGGCCACACUGGGACUGAGACACGGCCCAGACUCCUACGGGAGGCAGCAGUUGGGAAUCUUCGGCAAUGGGCGCAAGCCUGACCGAGCAACGCCGCGUGAGUGAUGAAGGUUUUCGGAUUGUAAAGCUCUGUCUUCCGGGACGAUAAUGACGGUACCGGAGGAGGAAGCCACGGCUAACUACGUG
RNAcentral lists this ribosomal RNA (466 nucleotides) under uncultured bacterium. Its description in RNAcentral is "bacterial SSU rRNA". It matches the Rfam family "Bacterial small subunit ribosomal RNA", at positions 28 to 507 of the family's 1533-position model. The record is from RNAcentral.